GUGCCAGCCGCCGCGGUAAUACGUAGGUGGCGAGCGUUAUCCGGAAUUACUGGGCGUAAAGCGCACGCAGGCGGCUCUUUAAGUUUGACGUGAAAGCUCCCGGCUUAACUGGGAGAGGUCGUUGAAGACUGGAGGGCUUGAGGCAAUGAGAGGGGUGUAGAAUUCCCGGUGUAGUGGUGGAAUGCGUAGAUAUCGGGAGGAAUACCAGUGGCGAAAGCGGCACCCUAGCAUUAGCCUGACGCUCAUGUGCGAAAGCGUGGGGAGCGAACGGGAUUAGAUACCCCGGUAGUCC
RNAcentral lists this ribosomal RNA (292 nucleotides) under uncultured bacterium. RNAcentral's name for it is "partial 16S ribosomal RNA". It matches the Rfam family "Bacterial small subunit ribosomal RNA", at positions 505 to 796 of the family's 1533-position model. The record is from RNAcentral.